AACAGACCAGCAUAUUAAAAAAGCAACUCUGACAAGAGAACGAUUUCCUUCUUUGGUCCAAGACAACUUCACUGGUGAGCCAGACAGACUGUGCUGGACAUGCAGCUCAUCCUAUGGAUGUGGGAGCAUUUCACCUGCAUCUGAGAGAGAAGAAAUACAUGAAGAACAGGAGGCUGAUAGAAAGGGAAUGGGGAGGGAGUGCAGUCCAUCCCUGAGUGGCAGCCAGGACCUCACAGCUGGCACUGGGGAACUGCUGUCUGCAGUCCAUGCCCUCCCUUUCCACUGAGCUCUGCUGGCCUGGCCACAGGCUCAAAACUGAAUGAUAGGGUGCAGAGGGAAGAGCCAAGAGGAGCUCUCUCCAUCUGCUGAGAAAGCAGGUCUGCCUUCAGCUGCUUGUGCAGGUGCUUGGAGCACUGUGACUGGUUGCAAGUUUGGGCAGCUGUCCUAGCCACACACUGUGCUGUGCUUAUUCAUGGACUGUGCUUGCAGGACCAUGAGGUUUUCUGUCAUUAACUCCUUGGUGAAAACAGGCUUUGUGAAAUAGCUGGGAGGUGAAAGCACAGAACUUGCCUAUUAGCUAUAUCUUUGAUUUAUCCCAAAACUUUCUUCCUCAAGUUCAGUAGGUGGAGGUGUGGAGGAAGAAUGAAGCAAGGAGGGAAGCAGAAUGCCAGUCAUAAGAGGCCUGGAGCAUGCAGGCAAUCCAAGUCCUGCUGCCCUGGGAAUGCUCUGUAAUGCCUGCAUGCCAGGCAAGAGGGAGUGACUUCAAAGAACGUCUUUAUUAGGGUACACUGCUUAGCAUGAAAGAAAUGUCAGGGCUGCUCUACACUGACUCUCUGCCUGCGGCACUAAACUAGCCUGUCAUUCAGCAGUCUGAGUACAAACCACAACUGCUGACAGAGUCCUGGAAAAAUUUAUUUUUUCACAUCUAAUUGCCCUUUUUGCUUUGUAAACAUAAAGGUUGAAGCUUAAACACUGACAGCUCCAGUAGCCUUUUGCUUAACUCCUUAAAAAAACGACAUCCAGCAUGUUAAAUUUUGCUUUUACUGCAGCUGAAAUCUCACAAAAUCUGCGCAAGUUUUUUUAAAGAUCAUUGAUGCAUUUCAGUACUCACUUUGGGAAAAACCCUUCAGCUCACAAAAAGACAAAAGGUAGUGCCUGAAGAGCCAAGACCUUUCCCCACAGCAAUUCAGGAUAAAAAUGUUUGACCAAAAGAGGCAGAGCAAGCAAUCAGCAUUCCAUCUUUCCCUGGGAGCAGAUUAAAGAACGCAUAUCUGCUCUUGUUGUUG
This 1286-nucleotide long non-coding RNA is filed under the name Cyanistes caeruleus (blue tit). RNAcentral describes it as "lncRNA (ENSCCEG00000023197.1)". Lineage: Eukaryota; Metazoa; Chordata; Aves; Passeriformes; Paridae. The record is from RNAcentral.